RNAcentral lists this ribosomal RNA (253 nucleotides) under uncultured bacterium. Its description in RNAcentral is "partial 16S ribosomal RNA". It matches the Rfam family "Bacterial small subunit ribosomal RNA", at positions 524 to 776 of the family's 1533-position model. The record is from RNAcentral.
UACGUAGGGUGCAAGCGUUAAUCGGAAUUACUGGGCGUAAAGCGUGCGCAGGCGGUUUUGUAAGUCUGACGUGAAAUCCCCGGGCUCAACCUGGGAAUUGCAUUUGUGACUGCAAGGCUAGAGUACGGCAGAGGGGGAUGGAAUUCCGCGUGUAGCAGUGAAAUGCGUAGAUAUGCGGAGGAACACCAAUGGCGAAGGCAAUCCCCUGGGCCUGUACUGACGCUCAUGCACGAAAGCGUGGGGAGCAAACAGG